RNAcentral lists this ribosomal RNA (208 nucleotides) under uncultured Streptococcus sp. RNAcentral describes it as "partial 16S ribosomal RNA". It matches the Rfam family "Bacterial small subunit ribosomal RNA", at positions 1175 to 1382 of the family's 1533-position model. The record is from RNAcentral. Lineage: Bacteria; Bacillati; Bacillota; Bacilli; Lactobacillales; Streptococcaceae.
UGGGAUGACGUCAAAUCAUCAUGCCCCUUAUGACCUGGGCUACACACGUGCUACAAUGGUUGGUACAACGAGUUGCGAGUCGGUGACGGCGAGCUAAUCUCUUAAAGCCAAUCUCAGUUCGGAUUGUAGGCUGCAACUCGCCUACAUGAAGUCGGAAUCGCUAGUAAUCGCGGAUCAGCACGCCGCGGUGAAUACGUUCCCGGGCCUU